GACGAACGCUGGCGGCGUGCCUAAUACAUGCAAGUCGAGCGGACGAAUCGAAAGCUUGCUUUUGAUUCGUUAGCGGCGGACGGGUGAGUAACACGUGGGCAACCUGCCCUGUAGACGGGGAUAACACCGAGAAAUCGGUGCUAAUACCGGAUAACACGAAAUGUCGCAUGACGUUUCGUUGAAAGACGGCGCAAGCUGUCGCUACAGGAUGGGCCCGCGGCGCAUUAGCUAGUUGGUAGGGUAACGGCUCACCAAGGCGACGAUGCGUAGCCGACCUGAGAGGGUGAUCGGCCACACUGGGACUGAGACACGGCCCAGACUCCUACGGGAGGCAGCAGUAGGGAAUCUUCCGCAAUGGACGAAAGUCUGACGGAGCAACGCCGCGUGAGAGAAGAAGGCCUUCGGGUCGUAAAGCUCUGUUGUUAGGGAAGAACAAGUAACGCAGUAACUGGCGUUACCGUGACGGUACCUAACGAGAAAGCCACGGCUAACUACGUG
This 498-nucleotide ribosomal RNA is filed under the name uncultured bacterium. RNAcentral's name for it is "partial 16S ribosomal RNA". It matches the Rfam family "Bacterial small subunit ribosomal RNA", at positions 28 to 507 of the family's 1533-position model. The record is from RNAcentral.